Carassius carassius (crucian carp) is the source of this 1508-nucleotide long non-coding RNA. RefSeq lists it as uncharacterized. NCBI's taxonomy places the organism in Eukaryota, Metazoa, Chordata, Actinopteri, Cypriniformes, Cyprinidae. The transcript has 2 exons. The record is from RefSeq and is a predicted model, not a curated record.
CAAAAUAAUCAUAACUUCAUUCUUAAGUUAUCCAGUCACAGAGAUUAUUUUCUUUUCUUAAGACUGUUAAUGAAUCCGGCCUUGGGUUUUCAGUGUUUGUUUACAUGAUGGGGUCUGUGUUUGUGACGUGUGCAGUCCAGACAGUCAGUGAUUCACAUGAUUCAGUGAUUUAGUCAGUAAUGGAUUCACAUAUUUCAGUGAUUCAGUCAGUAAUGGAUUCACAUGAUUCAGUGAUUCACUCAGUGUUAGAGUACAUUCACAUGAUUCAGUAAUUCAGUCAAUGUUAGAUUCACAUGAUUCAGUGAAUCUGUCAAAGUCAGAUUCACGAUUCAGUGAUUCAGUGUUUCAGUCAGUGUUACAGUACAUUCACAUGAUUCAGUGAUUCAGUCAGUCAGAUUCAUGAUUCAGUGAUUCACAUGAUUCAGUGUUUCAGUCAGUGUUACAGUACAUUCACAUGAUUCACUGGAUCAAUCAAAGUCAGAUUCACGAUUCAGUGAUUCACAUGAUUCAGUGACUCACUCAGUGUUAGAGUACAUUCACAUGAUUCAGUAAUUCAGUCAAAGUCAGAUUCACGAUUCAGCGAUUCACAUAAUUCAGUGACUCACUCAGUGUUAGAGUACAUUCACAUUAUUCAGUAAUUCAGUCAAAGUCAGAUUCACGAUUCAGUGAUUCACAUGAUUCAUCAGUGUUACAGUACAUUCACAUGAUUCACUGGAUCAAUCAAAGUCAGAUUCACGAUUCAGUGAUUCACAUGAUUCAGUGACUCACUCAGUGUUAGAGUACAUUCACAUGAUUCAGUAAUUCAGUCAAAGUCAGAUUCACGAUUCAGCGAUUCACAUAAUUCAGUGACUCACUCAGUGUUAGAGUACAUUCACAUGAUUCAGUAAUUCAGUCAAAGUCAGAUUCACGAUUCAGUGAUUCACAUGAUUCAGUGACUCACUCAGUGUUAGAGUACAUUCACAUGAUUCAGUAAUUCAGUCAAAUUCAGAUUCACGACUCAGUUAUUCAUAUCAGUGUUGGUGUUUAGAUGUGUUUAAUGUCUCAUUAGUUUGUGAACAGAAUCAGUAUAUUUGCUGUGAAUCACCAAUAUUGUCAAUGCUAAAACUUUUUCUCCAUGUGUUGUUUGUAGAAAAAACAUAGAUUUUUCAUGUUUACUGUAUUACAUCUAAAGUUCAAGAUUUUCACAGUUCACGACGACGCCAGCACAGAGAUGUAUAAAGUUUUGUGAAUAUGCGAUAUGAUUUUGUGAUCAUACACUGUGUUGAAGGCCUGUGAGAUGUACAGAUGAAUGAAUCGUUUUCACUGAUGAAACAGAUGACUGAUGCAUUCUUAAUCAUACGGCCAUAAAAGUACAAUAAGAGCCUGUUUUUACUUCACUGCUCUGUAAAUAACGUUUAUUAUCCACUGUUACGCUAGAUUGAAACAAUAACAGCAUGAGAAAACCUUGGGUCAAAGGUCAUGUUUACGUUGACAUUAUAGUUUUCAAAUAAAAGUUGUUUGUAAACUUC